This 278-nucleotide unclassified non-coding RNA is filed under the name uncultured Anabaena sp. RNAcentral's name for it is "partial 16S-23S ribosomal RNA intergenic spacer". The record is from RNAcentral. Lineage: Bacteria; Bacillati; Cyanobacteriota; Cyanophyceae; Nostocales; Nostocaceae.
UAGGGAGACCUAAUCCAUUUAGAAAUCGAAAACAAUGAAAAUUGUCAAUAGAAACUAAAUUGGUCUAACCUAGGUCGUUCGAGAUUGGUGGACAUCUUUCAAAGUAUUAUUCGGCUUCGUUCAAAACCAUAUAUAAUAAAUGGAAAAAGACAGCACCUAAUUGUCAAAGUUAGACUGCUGGAUGAAGUUCCAGCCAGAACCUUGAAAACUGCAUAAGAGAACAAGAAAAAGCAGGCAGACACAGACAUUUAGAUGGAUGUGGAAGCAAAAGAAAUUGU